GGCAGUUCUCGGGUGACACACCCUGGAAUCGGGGCUCCCUCCUCUCUGGUUCCAGGUGUGUCAACCGAGAACCAUA
Molecule: non-coding RNA, 76 nt
Organism: Myotis brandtii (Brandt's bat)
Lineage: Eukaryota; Metazoa; Chordata; Mammalia; Chiroptera; Vespertilionidae
Source: Rfam